This 82-nucleotide transfer RNA is filed under the name Ixodes scapularis (black-legged tick). Its description in RNAcentral is "tRNA-Cys". It matches the Rfam family "tRNA". From Rfam's summary of the family: Transfer RNA (tRNA) molecules are approximately 80 nucleotides in length. Their secondary structure includes four short double-helical elements and three loops (D, anti-codon, and T loops). Lineage: Eukaryota; Metazoa; Arthropoda; Arachnida; Ixodida; Ixodidae. The record is from RNAcentral.
GACGAGGUGGCCGAGUGGUUAAGGCGAUGGACUGCAUAUCCAUUGGGCUCUGCCCGCAUGGGUUCGAAUCCCAUCCCCGUCG